AGGGGGACAACAGUUGGAAACGACUGCUAAUACCGCAUACGAUCUAAUCUCGGCAUCGAGGAUGGAUGAAAGGUGGCCUCUACAUGUAAGCUAUCACUGAAGGAGGGGAUUGCGUCUGAUUAGCUAGUUGGAGGGGUAACGGCCCACCAAGGCGAUGAUCAGUAGCCGGUCUGAGAGGAUGAACGGCCACAUUGGGACUGAGACACGGCCCAG
This 213-nucleotide ribosomal RNA is filed under the name uncultured bacterium. RNAcentral describes it as "partial 16S ribosomal RNA". It matches the Rfam family "Bacterial small subunit ribosomal RNA", at positions 137 to 334 of the family's 1533-position model. The record is from RNAcentral.